RNAcentral lists this ribosomal RNA (514 nucleotides) under uncultured bacterium. Its description in RNAcentral is "partial 16S ribosomal RNA". It matches the Rfam family "Bacterial small subunit ribosomal RNA", at positions 28 to 523 of the family's 1533-position model. The record is from RNAcentral.
GACGAACGCUGGCGGCGUGCCUAAUACAUGCAAGUCGAGCGGACGAAUCAAAAGCUUGCUUUUGAUUCGUUAGCGGCGGACGGGUGAGUAACACGUGGGCAACCUGCCCUGUAGACGGGGAUAACACCGAGAAAUCGGUGCUAAUACCGGAUAACACGAAAUGUCGCAUGACGUUUCGUUGAAAGACGGCGCAAGCUGUCGCUACAGGAUGGGCCCGCGGCGCAUUAGCUAGUUGGUGAGGUAACGGCUCACCAAGGCGACGAUGCGUAGCCGACCUGAGAGGGUGAUCGGCCACACUGGGACUGAGACACGGCCCAGACUCCUACGGGAGGCAGCAGUAGGAAAUCUUCCGCAAUGGACGAAAGUCUGACGGAGCAACGCCGCGUGAGCGAAGAAGGCCUUCGGGUCGUAAAGCUCUGUUGUUAGGGAAGAACAAGUAACGCAGUAACUGGCGUUACCGUGACGGUACCUAACGAGAAAGCCACGGCUAACUACGUGCCAGCCGCCGCCGUAA